This 118-nucleotide ribosomal RNA is filed under the name uncultured bacterium. RNAcentral describes it as "partial 16S ribosomal RNA". It matches the Rfam family "Bacterial small subunit ribosomal RNA", at positions 1367 to 1482 of the family's 1533-position model. The record is from RNAcentral.
UACGUUCCCGGGUCUUGUANACACCGCCCGUCACACCAUGGGAGCGGGUUUUACCAGAAGUAGGUAGCUUAACCGCAAGGGGGGGCGCUUACCACGGUAGGAUUCGUGACUGGGGGUG